CGGAAGCGGAACAUCGUGCGCGGACGAUCGUUGAUGAAGGAGGACGAAGUGGUCGUUGUAAAUCUCGUGAAUGCACGUAGUCAGGGUUUUGAUGCCAGAGCUGACUGAUGGGUUCACGUGGUUCCUUUGAAAAAAUAAACGUGUUUUGAUGGCAGAGCUGACUGAUGGGUGCGCAUGGUUCCUUCGUAUGUUCUUCCUUUGAAAAAAUAAAUGGGUUUUGAUGCCAGAGGUGACUGGCGCAUUUUCAUCACUAUGUACAUAGAAAAUAAAUCACAAUGUGACAAACAUCACAA
Molecule: long non-coding RNA, 293 nt
Organism: Ornithodoros turicata
Lineage: Eukaryota; Metazoa; Arthropoda; Arachnida; Ixodida; Argasidae
Exons: 4
Source: RefSeq, a predicted model, not a curated record